RNAcentral lists this ribosomal RNA (253 nucleotides) under uncultured bacterium. RNAcentral's name for it is "partial 16S ribosomal RNA". It matches the Rfam family "Bacterial small subunit ribosomal RNA", at positions 524 to 776 of the family's 1533-position model. The record is from RNAcentral.
UACGAAGGGGGCUAGCGUUGUUCGGAAUUACUGGGCGUAAAGCGCACGUAGGCGGCUUUGUAAGUCAGGGGUGAAAUCCCGGGGCUCAACCUCGGAACUGCCUUUGAUACUGCAAGUCUCGAGUCCGAUAGAGGUGAGUGGAAUUCCUAGUGUAGAGGUGAAAUUCGUAGAUAUUAGGAAGAACACCAGUGGCGAAGGCGGCUCACUGGACUGGUAUUGACGCUGAGGUGCGAAAGCGUGGGGAGCAAACAGG